ACGCUGAGCACGUCUUAAAGGAGCAGCAGCCUCCGGUGCUCUGGGAGUGUGGGCGGGAGCUGCAGGUUUGAAUAAGUGAAUAAGUCAUUAAACCAGUUCUUCCAACGUCCUCGUUUCCUCAUUUCUGCGGCUGAAUGUUUCUCAAAAGGAUAAAAAGUUGAGACUCACCGCAUUUGGGUAAAUUGUUUCGUUUCUUAACGUAUCGACGCUACAGUUGAAUUAUUGAGCUGGAGCCCAGUUUAAAGAGCUGCCCUGUGGCCAGCCGAGGAGCUGAGGGAAAAGUGAGGUUCGCUGGCUAAUUUAGUGCAACUCUCCUGCUCCCGGGUGACUCCUGUGGGGUGUCUCCCUGUGCUGAGCGAGGACCAGCUUACUGGCUCGGUUGUGAUGCUGCCACAGUCGAAGAAGAGCCCAUCAGACACAUUAGAAGAACAGACACUGGAGGGCGGGACUGGAGCCAUAGAGAGAGAGUCAGCAUCCUAAAUUCCCAGUGCCGGCUAUAUUUUCCUGCGGAGGAUUCUGUGUUGCUGGUGCUCGGUUUGGUGUGGAACACAUCCCGGUUAGUGAGUGGUCAUCCUGCCUCCAGACUGUGACCAUCACAUUUGCAGCCAAGGGAGAACAGGAGCAGGGCGGACUGUUCACCCGGACUAUCCUUUCAGUGCCACCUCCACUCCUCACACCAAACACUGCCAUCAUUGUAACUGCUGGACCAUUGCACAGACUGCCCAAUAAGGUCAGAGGGAUUGAGAGUACAAGACUGUCAUGUAAUGCUGCCCUUGAUUGUGACUGAAGUCUGCAACUAGGGUUUUGGUGCUUCAAAGUAUCAAUCAAGGACCCAGGCGCUGAAUCCUGAGGGAUUGGUCCUACCAUCCCGAAAACAUUGUCCAUUUUCCGCCCUCUCCUCGAUCUCUGGACAGAGAAACUGUUUUGUUCAUGAGGGAGAUUCUCACACCAGAAAACAGGAAGAAGAACGUUGGAAAAGCAGUGGAAUUUGUGAUUUUCGGCCUGGGAGAGGGAUAAGGAUGGAGUGAGCAGAAGUGUGUUUAGUAACUGGACAGUGAGAUGAGCUUGUGACCGGUCACCUGUCCUCGGAAACCUCCACAA
Long non-coding RNA from Carcharodon carcharias (great white shark), 1101 nucleotides. RefSeq lists it as uncharacterized. The record is from RefSeq and is a predicted model, not a curated record. NCBI's taxonomy places the organism in Eukaryota, Metazoa, Chordata, Chondrichthyes, Lamniformes, Lamnidae. The transcript is spliced from 2 exons.